UAUGGUCAGAGUCCAAGCGCAAGUGUCUAGUAAUCCACCUGGGGAGUACGUCCGCAAGGAUGACACUCAAAGGAAUUGACGGGGGCCCGCACAAGCGCUGGAGCAUGUGGUUUAAUUCGAUGAUACGCGAGGAACCUUACCUGGGCUUGAAAGUUAGUGACCGCUCCUGAAAGGGAGCUUUCCUUCGGGACACGAAACUAGGUGCUGCAUGGCUGUCGUCAGCUCGUGCCGUGAGGUGUCGGAUUAAGUUCCAUAACGAGCGCAACCCCUAUCUUUAGUUGCCAGCGAGUAAUGUCGGGGACUCUAAAGAAACUGCCCGUGUAAGCGGUGAGGAAGGUGGGGAUGACGUCAAGUCAUCACGGCCCUUACGUCCAGGGCGACACACGUGCUACAAUGGUAGGGACAGUGAGUUGCAAGCCAGCAAUGGUGAGCUAAUCUAUAAACCCUAUCUCAGUUCGGAUCGAGGUCUGCAACCCGACCUCGUGAAGCUGGAAUCGCUAGUAAUCGGAUAUCAGCCAUGAUCCGGUGAAUACGUUCCCGGGCCUUGUACACACCGCCCGUCAAGCCAUGGAAAUUGGGAGCG
Molecule: ribosomal RNA, 583 nt
Filed under: uncultured Bacteroidota bacterium
Lineage: Bacteria; Pseudomonadati; Bacteroidota
Description: bacterial SSU rRNA
Rfam family: Bacterial small subunit ribosomal RNA
Source: RNAcentral